This 471-nucleotide ribosomal RNA is filed under the name uncultured bacterium. RNAcentral describes it as "bacterial SSU rRNA". It matches the Rfam family "Bacterial small subunit ribosomal RNA", at positions 38 to 502 of the family's 1533-position model. The record is from RNAcentral.
GGCGGCGUGGAUAAGACAUGCAAGUCGAACGAAGAAUCUCAAUAGCUUGCUAAUGAGAUUCUUAUUGGCGGACGGGUUAGUAACACGUGAGAUACCUACCCUUUAGACAGGAAUAGCCCAUGGAAACGUGGAAUAAUACCUGAUAGUCUCUACGGAGUAAAUGAUGCCUUCGGGUGUCGCUAAAGGAUGGGCUCGCGGCCUAUCAGUUUGUUGGUGAGGUAAAGGCUCACCAAGACUACGACGGGUAGCUGGUCUGAGAGGACGAUCAGCAACACUGGAACUGAGACACGGUCCAGACACCUACGGGUGGCAGCAGUCGAGAAUCAUUCACAAUGGAGGAAACUCUGAUGGUGCAACGCCGCGUGGAGGAUGACGGCCCUAGGGGUGAAAACUCCUGUCAUUGGGGAGUAAGACUUAUGCGUUAAGAGCGUGUAAGUUUGAUAGUACCCAAAGAGGAAGGGACGGCUAACU